Molecule: long non-coding RNA, 503 nt
Organism: Amphimedon queenslandica
Lineage: Eukaryota; Metazoa; Porifera; Demospongiae; Haplosclerida; Niphatidae
Exons: 3
Source: RefSeq, a predicted model, not a curated record
AACCUGUUUUAUCUUGUCUUUCUUUUUCUUCUUUUAUUUUCAUGGUGUCCCUUAACUACCUUCCUUAUUCUUUGGAACAGCACCAACAAUAAUACCAAUUGAUGAUGAUAAUGACAUGACAGUUGUGAUUGUUGUUCCAAUAGUUGGAGCGUUUAUUGUUGCAGUAUGUAUUGUAUUGCUUGCAAUAGCACACAAAAUAAGUAAAAAAAAAUCUCGUAAUUCUACAUCACCCGGUGCUACUAAUGAAGAGUUUGACAUGAAGAAACAGCUUAGUGAUGUUGAUGAUGCUGCCAAUGGAGGAGAUGAUGGAUCAGGUUCUUAGUAUUCCAACUAUAAUAGUAUAGACCUACCACUGCAUAGAGGCAUAUAAUAAGAACCAGUGAUUGAUUAAUGUUUUUAAUACACUUUUCAUGUUAUUGAGUACAUAUUUAGUGUCCAGUCUAACACUGUUUUGUCUUUGUUUGAUUUUUUUGCUUCCAAAGAAAUUUUUUCUGAAUACCAUA